This 460-nucleotide ribosomal RNA is filed under the name uncultured Porphyromonas sp. RNAcentral's name for it is "bacterial SSU rRNA". It matches the Rfam family "Bacterial small subunit ribosomal RNA", at positions 338 to 795 of the family's 1533-position model. The record is from RNAcentral. Lineage: Bacteria; Pseudomonadati; Bacteroidota; Bacteroidia; Bacteroidales; Porphyromonadaceae.
CCUACGGGUGGCAGCAGUGAGGAAUAUUGGUCAAUGGGCGAAAGCCUGAACCAGCCAAGUCGCGUGAAGGAUGACGGUCUUAUGGAUUGUAAACUGCUUUUAUACGGGAAUAACAAGAGCCACGUGUGACUCCCUGCAUGUACCGUAAGAAUAAGCAUCGGCUAACUCCGUGCCAGCAGCCGCGGUAAUACGGAGGAUGCGAGCGUUAUCCGGAAUUAUUGGGUUUAAAGGGUGCGUAGGCGGCUUGUUAAGUCAGCGGUGAAAUCUAGGAGCUUAACUCCUAAAUUGCCAUUGAUACUGGCGGGCUUGAGUGUAGAUGAGGUAGGCGGAAUGCGUGGUGUAGCGGUGGAAUGCAUAGAUAUCACGCAGAACUCCGAUUGCGAAGGCAGCUUACUAAGGUAAAACUGACGCUGAAGCACGAAAGCGUGGGUAUCAAACAGGAUUAGAUACCCCUGUAGUC